UUCAUUUUUAUUGAAUAUUUCCUAAAAUACAAGUUAUAUGAAAAAAUGUUUCCUACAAAAGUUGUAUAGUAUUUUACACUCUUUGCAACGGUAUAUUUAAUUUUUUCAAAAACGUUAAAUUUUUUAACCCCCUCCCUCCCACUCAACUAGUUACCUUUGCAAAAUUUGUAAGUUUUUGUAAGGACAAAAAUUGUAGAGCAUUUUAUGCCAAAUCGAUCCAUAUAGUAUUAGAAGGUGGUCUCGAUUACAUUGUUGGAAAACGUCGUGAUAAUAUCGUGCUAUACGCGUCACGCUGUCCAAGUAGAUGGAUACUGUAACUAGAUACGUUACUGUAAGUAGGGGAAUGUAAUAAAUUGUAGAAAAAUAAUACAUAGACAGUUGCAUAUAUUUAAUUUAUAAUGUUAAUAUAAUAUAUUAAAAUCAUAUUAAGAAAAAUCGAUAGAGGAUUUGCAUACACAGAAAAUAAGUGUAUUUUACUUAUAGCACAUAUUCGAAACAAAGGUGGUGCUCAUGGAAAAAAUGUGUGAUCCAAGAAUUGCACCAAGAACAAGUAAUUAUAGCAGUUUCGCUACAAACAUCACAUGGUAGGAUCACUUUAAGAUCUUUUUUGAAACAAAAAUCAACCGGUGUCUCGAACUCUGGCGGUCUAGUCUGUAAAUAUCCACUUUUGAACCAUGAAGAUUUAAAUAAAUUUUGAAACCUGGGUGACGAGAAUUCAUGAUGUGUUAAUGACUGCAAGUUCAAGAUAUUGUUCCUAUUAUGAAGAUCAAUUGCAAGAUCGAGUAACAUAACAUUAUCAGAGAAAUAUUUGAUAAAAUUUUUCUACAAACGAAAACCAUAUACAUCUAGUAGUUGUAUUUUUCCCGUUGUACCAGCCGGAAUUGUUAGAAAAUAGAUAUCUGUUGCAAAAUCUGGUCUACUUUCGGCAAUUAUGUUGGGGCAAUGUCCACUCCAAGAAUCUAAUAGUAAGACGGAUUGUGGCCCAACGUUCGGAAAGAAAACUUCUCUCAACCAGGUUUUUACAUAAUUUGAUGUUAAUUUACCUGACUUCGAAACCAUUACAUAAAUGUUAGGAGCGUUAAAUAAGGAUUGCUGCACUCGUGGACCAAACGUUCCUGUGGGUUCUUUUAAUACGAUCAAAAGAGACGACAAUAAUCUACCAUCAGCAGAAAUUGUUUGUUUUACAUGUUUACAUAUUUAUGUGAACAUUUUAUACGUUCGUCUCCCUAUUUUCGCAACAAAUAUAACGUAAAUAGUGCGUUUAUAAUUGCAUUUUAAUUUAUUAAUUUCUUUUAGAUGUAUAUCUGAUAUCAAGAGACAGAAGAGGAGAAAACAACGUCAAAAAUAAGAAGACAAUAUUAUUUAUAAAAAUGAUGUCAUUUAAUCCAUGGAAUGUCAUACUGUUACUGUAUGCAACAUUUUCUGCUUUAGACCUUCCACAAAGUCCGAUAAUUUCGGAGGAAAUAAAAGGGAAGGAGAAGGUUGAAUAUAUGCUGAAAGAAAUUGGAAAUGAUAACGAAUUUGAAAUAGAAGAAAAGCAAGCACUAGACUUUUAUGAUCCAAAUGGGAUUCCACAUGCAGAAACAGUUGAUUUGUUAGAUCAUGUUGAAGAUGAGAAUUAUCUCCCAGAAGAAGUUAUUUGUACUUCUGUUGAAAUAGCAAUAUCAAACGACUAUAAAAGGUAAGCUGGAGUACUGGAGAAGUGGUAAAACAAAACCAAGAGAUCAUUGGAAUCGGUUAAAAACAAUUAUAAACAAGUAACGUCGCUACGACAAUUACGGCGAUGGGAGAAGUAUAUCAAUGCAGGUAGUACCAGAAAAGAAAAAUUGCAAAGAAUUCCUGAAUAUACAUUAAACAAUUUCAAUGAACCGCUCCAAAAAGGAAUGAUAAUUCAUGAUAUUGACAUCGAUGGGCUUCUCGAGCACAACAAGAGAUAAAUGCGCCAGGAUUCAUAGCGUCACAUAUGUGGAUACACAGAUUUAAAAAACAACAUAAUAUAGUAUCUCGUAAAAUAACGAAAUUUGUCACGAAAAAAUCUUUGUUAUCAAAAUCAGAUUUGGAAAAUAAGUGCGAAACAUUUAUAACAAAUUUAAAAUAUUUUAUUAAUCAAUAUGGAAUAGAAAAUAUUUAUAAUUCAGAUCAGAGUGGAUUCCAGUUAGAACUUCACGCCGGUCGUACUUUAGCAAAUAAAGGUGCAAAAACAAUAGAAUCUGCAGUACAGUCUGUAUCAGCAACCACGCAUAGUUACACAAUACAGCCGACUAUUUCUGCUGAUGGUAGAUUGUCGCCUCUUUUGAUCGUAUUAAAAGAAUCCACAGGAACGUUUGGUCCACGAGUGCAAUCAUUAUUUAACGCUCCUAACAUUUAUGUAAUGGCUUCAAAGUCAGGUAAAUUAACAUCAAAUCAUGUAAAAACCUGGUUGAAAGAAGUUUUCUUUCCGAAUGUCGGGCCACAAUCCGUGUUACUAUUAGAUUCUUGGAGUGGACAUUAUCCCAAUAUAAUUGCCGAAAGUAGACCAGAUUCUGCAACAGAUAUCUAUUUUCUAACACUUCCGGCUGGUACAACGGGAAAAAUACAACUACUAGAUGUAUAUGACUUCCGCUUGUGGAAAAAUUUUAUCAAAUAUUUCUCUGAUAAUGUUAUGUUACUCGAUCUUGCAAUUGAUCUUCAUAAUAGAAACAAUAUCUUGAAAUUGCAGUCAUUAACACGCCAUCAGUUUUCGUCACCCAGGUUUCAAAAUUUAUUUAAAUUUGCAUUGUUUAAAAGUGGAUAUUUAUAGACUAGACCGUCAGAGUUCGAGACACCGAUUGAUUUUUGUUUCAAAAAAGAUCCUAAAGUACAAUGCGAUGUUUGGGGCGAAACUGCUAUAAUUACUUUUUCUUGAUGCAAACGAUCAUUUUGCAUCACACAUUUUUUCCAUGAGCACCAUCUUUGUUUCGAAUAUGUGCCAUAAGUAAAAUACAUUUAUUUUCUGUGUAUGCAAAUCCUCUAUCGAUUUUUCUUAAUAUGAUUUUAAUAUACGAGUAUUAUAUUAACAUUAUAAAUUGUAAACAUUAUACAUUAAAUAUAUGCAACUGUCUAUGUAUUAUUUUUGUACAGUUCAUUACGUUUUUUUACUUACAGUAACGUAUCUAACUACAGUAUCCAUUUACUUGGACAGCGUGACGCGUAUAACACGAUAUGAUCACGACGUUUUCCAACAAUUUAAUCGAGACCACUUUCUAAUAUUAUAUAUGGAUCAAUUUGGCAUGAAAUGCUCUACAAUUUUUGUUCUUACAAAAACUUACAAAUUUUGCAAAGGUAACGUGUUGAGAGGGGGUUAAAAAAUUUGACGUUUUUGAAAAAAUUAAAUAUACCGUUGCAAAGAGUGUAAAAUACUGUACAACUUUUGUAGGAAACAUUUUUUCAUAUACCUUGUAUUCUAGGAAAUAUUCAAUAAAAAUGAAAAAGUCCUCUUUCUUCAAAGGGCUGUUUCAACCCCUAAACUUAAUAUUCAACCGAUAAAAAAAUACGUGUCGAAUACUUUUUGAUGCUCUACAACAUAUCCAAAGCGCAUCAAAAUCAGUGAGGACAGUUCUGUUAGUUUCCUUGUUAGUCAUAUAUAACCACACAAAUUUUCAACGUGGUAAUUGUAACACAUGGAUUUGUUGUUUACUCCAAUGUUGCAUUACGUGAAAAUAAAGAGACCUUUAGAGCUA
Molecule: long non-coding RNA, 3698 nt
Organism: Odontomachus brunneus
Lineage: Eukaryota; Metazoa; Arthropoda; Insecta; Hymenoptera; Formicidae
Exons: 2
Source: RefSeq, a predicted model, not a curated record